UACGUAGGGGGCAAGCGUUGUCCGGAAUUAUUGGGCGUAAAGGGCUCGUAGGUGGCCAACUAAGUCAGACGUGAAAUCCCCAGGCUUAACCUGGGAACUGCGUCUGAUACUGGAUGGCUUGAAUUCGGGAGAGGGAUGCAGAAUUCCAGGUGUAGCGGUGAAAUGCGUAGAUAUCUGGAGGAAUACCGGUGGCGAAGGCGGCAUCCUGGACCGAGAUUGACACUGAUGAGCGAAAGCCAGGGGAGCAAACGGG
RNAcentral lists this ribosomal RNA (253 nucleotides) under uncultured bacterium. Its description in RNAcentral is "partial 16S ribosomal RNA". It matches the Rfam family "Bacterial small subunit ribosomal RNA", at positions 524 to 776 of the family's 1533-position model. The record is from RNAcentral.